GACGAACGCUGGCGGCGUGCUUAACACAUGCAAGUCGAACGGAAAGGCCCCCACCUUGGUGGGGGUGCUCGAGUGGCGAACGGGUGAGUAACACGUGGGUGAUCUGCCCUGUAUUUCGGGAUAAGCUUGGGAAACUGGGUCUAAUACCGGAUAGGACCAGGGUUUAGUUUCUCAUGGUGGAAAAAUUAUUGUUUUGGUGCAGGAUGAGCUCGCGGCCUAUCAGCUUGUUGGUGGGGUAAUGGCCUACCAGGGCGUCGACGGGUAGCCGGCCUGAGAGGGUGGACGGCCACAUUGGGACUGAGAUACGGCCCAGACUCCUACGGGAGGCAGCAGUGGGGAAUAUUGCACAAUGGGCGCAAGCCUGAUGCAGCGACGCCGCGUGGGGGAUGACGGCCUUCGGGUUGUAAACUCCUUUCGUUAGGGACGAAGCCACACCUUUUUUGGGUGUGGUGACGGUACCUUUGUUAAGAAGCACCGGCUAACUACGUG
RNAcentral lists this ribosomal RNA (489 nucleotides) under uncultured bacterium. RNAcentral's name for it is "partial 16S ribosomal RNA". It matches the Rfam family "Bacterial small subunit ribosomal RNA", at positions 28 to 507 of the family's 1533-position model. The record is from RNAcentral.